UACUGCCCGUGCUAUUAUAGUAUUUUAAUUUAUAUUUUAUGAAGAUGAUAUAAUUAAAAUGAUUAUUAUUAUGAUUAUAAAACAUGAUUUAAUUAAGAAAAUAACUACCGAUGAUAACGGUUAGGCAAUUAUUAUUUGCAUUUUUCUUACUCAUGAAGUGAGAUUGUUAGUCUCUUUUCAGUCUUUCGUUUUUAUAUCUUCAUACUUUAAUGAAAUAUUAUAAAGUGAAAGUAACGUAUCAAGACUCUUAAGAGAAAUAUUUUUAUUAUCAUAUCAGAAUAUAACUAGCUCGGCACAUUUGUUAGCAAAAUUAUAUCCACGUAAGUCCUAAUUGACAAUUGUUGAAAAGGCAGCCCUGAACAAAUAAGAUUUAUUCACUUUUACCAUAAUAUUCAUAAAAAAUAGGUACAAAAUUCUAAAUAUGUGAUAGCUGACAGCCCUGAACAAAGAGGGUGCUUGUAGCGAUGGUUAUCGUUGGAUCGAGCCCCGUAUGGAUACGUCUGUAACGGCCCCCUGACGGCAGAUCGAAAAUAAUACUAUUAUUGUUGAUGGUAUGGGAAGGUGUCCCAUCAGAUAAGUGAAUGGCUCGGCGGGCUCCGUGGAAACAAUUUGCAACCAUAUCAAGAUCACACGUGGAAUGUGUUCAAAGUUAAAUUAUAUUUCAGUUAAACCGCGAAGGGUAAAUAAAAUCAUGAAUUGGUUUAUUUUUUUUUUCAUUAAAAUAAAUGAUAUAAACACU
This is a long non-coding RNA of Danaus plexippus (monarch butterfly), 739 nucleotides long. RefSeq lists it as uncharacterized. The transcript is spliced from 2 exons. Lineage: Eukaryota; Metazoa; Arthropoda; Insecta; Lepidoptera; Nymphalidae. The record is from RefSeq and is a predicted model, not a curated record.